GUGGCUGUCUCUUCCAGGAAUAAGACGAAUUGGCCAAAUUUAGUCACAUUAUGUCUUAUUCUGCUAAAAUAAGAGUAAGUAUGUAUACAAGAAACUCAUUUUUGUAUGCAUCUACAUGUAGGGAAUGUAAAACCGAAUGUCACUUUGGUGGAUGUAGCUGUCCCUCCCAGGAAUAAGACGAAAUGGCCAAAUUUAGUCACAUUUUGUUUUAUUCUGCUGAAAUAAGAGGAAUGUGAAACCGAAUGUCACUUUGGUGGGUGUGGCUGUCCCUCCCAGGAAUAAGACGAAAUGGCCAAAUUUAGUCACAUUUUGUCUUAUUCUGCGGAAAUAAGAG
Molecule: long non-coding RNA, 334 nt
Organism: Amphimedon queenslandica
Lineage: Eukaryota; Metazoa; Porifera; Demospongiae; Haplosclerida; Niphatidae
Exons: 2
Source: RefSeq, a predicted model, not a curated record